GACGAACGCUGGCGGCGUGCUUAAUACAUGCAAGUCGAACGCUUCUUUUUCCACCGGAGCUUGCUCCACCGGAAAAAGAGGAGUGGCGAACGGGUGAGUAACACGUGGGUAACCUGCCCAUCAGAAGGGGAUAACACUUGGAAACAGGUGCUAAUACCGUAUAACAAUCGAAACCGCAUGGUUUUGAUUUGAAAGGCGCUUUCGGGUGUCGCUGAUGGAUGGACCCGCGGUGCAUUAGCUAGUUGGUGAGGUAACGGCUCACCAAGGCGACGAUGCAUAGCCGACCUGAGAGGGUGAUCGGCCACAUUGGGACUGAGACACGGCCCAAACUCCUACGGGAGGCAGCAGUAGGGAAUCUUCGGCAAUGGACGAAAGUCUGACCGAGCAACGCCGCGUGAGUGAAGAAGGUUUUCGGAUCGUAAAACUCUGUUGUUAGAGAAGAACAAGGAUGAGAGUAACUGUUCAUCCCUUGACGGUAUCUAACCAGAAAGCCACGGCUAACUACGUGCCAGCAGCCGCGGUAAUACGUAGGUGGCAAGCGUUGUCCGGAUUUAUUGGGCGUAAAGCGAGCGCAGGCGGUUUCUUAAGUCUGAUGUGAAAGCCCCCGGCUCAACCGGGGAGGGUCAUUGGAAACUGGGAGACUUGAGUGCAGAAGAGGAGAGUGGAAUUCCAUGUGUAGCGGUGAAAUGCGUAGAUAUAUGGAGGAACACCAGUGGCGAAGGCGGCUCUCUGGUCUGUAACUGACGCUGAGGCUCGAAAGCGUGGGGAGCAAACAGGAUUAGAUACCCUGGUAGUCCACGCCGUAAACGAUGAGUGCUAAGUGUUGGAGGGUUUCCGCCCUUCAGUGCUGCAGCUAACGCAUUAAGCACUCCGCCUGGGGAGUACGACCGCAAGGUUGAAACUCAAAGGAAUUGACGGGGGCCCGCACAAGCGGUGGAGCAUGUGGUUUAAUUCGAAGCAACGCGAAGAACCUUACCAGGUCUUGACAUCCUUUGACCACUCUAGAGAUAGAGCUUCCCCUUCGGGGGCAAAGUGACAGGUGGUGCAUGGUUGUCGUCAGCUCGUGUCGUGAGAUGUUGGGUUAAGUCCCGCAACGAGCGCAACCCUUAUUGUUAGUUGCCAUCAUUUAGUUGGGCACUCUAGCAAGACUGCCGGUGACAAACCGGAGGAAGGUGGGGAUGACGUCAAAUCAUCAUGCCCCUUAUGACCUGGGCUACACACGUGCUACAAUGGGAAGUACAACGAGUCGCAAAGUCGCGAGGCUAAGCUAAUCUCUUAAAGCUUCUCUCAGUUCGGAUUGUAGGCUGCAACUCGCCUACAUGAAGCCGGAAUCGCUAGUAAUCGCGGAUCAGCACGCCGCGGUGAAUACGUUCCCGGGCCUUGUACACACCGCCCGUCACACCACGAGAGUUUGUAACACCCGAAGUCGGUGAGGUAACCUUUUGGAGCCAGCCGCCUAAGGUGGGAUAGAUGAUUGGGGUG
Molecule: ribosomal RNA, 1482 nt
Filed under: Enterococcus sp.
Lineage: Bacteria; Bacillati; Bacillota; Bacilli; Lactobacillales; Enterococcaceae
Description: bacterial SSU rRNA
Rfam family: Bacterial small subunit ribosomal RNA
Source: RNAcentral